GCCGUUUUGUAGAUUCUGCAUGAGCAAAACUUAUCACUCGUAAUGAGAAGGUCGUGGGUUCGAUUCCCACAGGCGGCUCCA
RNAcentral lists this transfer RNA (81 nucleotides) under Trueperella pecoris. RNAcentral describes it as "Trueperella sp. 19M2397 tRNA-Thr". Lineage: Bacteria; Bacillati; Actinomycetota; Actinomycetes; Actinomycetales; Actinomycetaceae. The record is from RNAcentral.